GUAACGCGUAGGAAUCUACCCAGUAGUGGGGGACAACUCGGGGAAACUCGAGCUAAUACCGCAUACGCCCUGAGGGGGAAAGCGGGGGAUCUUCGGACCUCGCGCUAUUGGAAGAGCCUGCGUUGGAUUAGCUGGUUGGUGGGGUAAAGGCCUACCAAGGCGACGAUCCAUAGCUGGUCUGAGAGGAUGAUCAGCCACACCGGGACUGAGACACGGCCCGGACUCCUACGGGAGGCAGCAGUGGGGAAUAUUGCGCAAUGGGGGCAACCCUGACGCAGCCAUGCCGCGCGUGUGAAGAAGGCCUUCGGGUUGUAAAGCACUUUCACUUGGGAAGAAAGGUUCGUAGUUAAUACCUGCGAGCUGUGACAUUACCUUGAGAAGAAGCACCGGCUAACUCCGUGCCAGCAGCCGCGGUAAUACGGAGGGUGCGAGCGUUAAUCGGAAUUACUGGGCGUAAAGCGCGCGUAGGCGGUUUGUUAAGUCGGAUGUGAAAGCCCCGGGCUCAACCUGGGAAUUGCACCCGAUACUGGCCGACUGGAGUGCGAGAGAGGGAGGUAGAAUUCCACGUGUAGCGGUGAAAUGCGUAGAUAUGUGGAGGAAUACCGGUGGCGAAGGCGGCCUCCUGGCUCGACACUGACGCUGAGGUGCGAAAGCGUGGGGAGCAAACAAGAUUAGAUACCCUGGUAGUCCACGCCGUAAACGAUGUCUACUAGCCGUUGGGGAACUUGAGUCCUUGGUGGCGCAGUUAACGCGAUAAGUAGACCGCCUGGGGAGUACGGCCGCAAGGUUAAAACUCAAAUGAAUUGACGGGGGCCCGCACAAGCGGUGGAGCAUGUGGUUUAAUUCGAUGCAACGCGAAGAACCUUACCAGGCCUUGACAUCCUUGGAAUUCUGCAGAGAUGCGGGAGUGCCUUCGGGAAUCAAGUGACAGGUGCUGCAUGGCUGUCGUCAGCUCGUGUCGUGAGAUGUUGGGUUAAGUCCCGUAACGAGGGCAACCCUUAUCUUUAGUGUCCAGCGAUUCGGUGGGGAACUUUAACGAGACUGACGUUGACAAACCGUAGGAAGGUGGGGAAGACGUCAAGUCAUCAUGUCCCUUA
Molecule: ribosomal RNA, 1097 nt
Filed under: uncultured organism
Description: bacterial SSU rRNA
Rfam family: Bacterial small subunit ribosomal RNA
Source: RNAcentral